Long non-coding RNA from Gallus gallus (chicken), 1096 nucleotides. The record is from Ensembl. Lineage: Eukaryota; Metazoa; Chordata; Aves; Galliformes; Phasianidae.
GGAUUCUACUGGGCAGAGUUCAGGGCAGGAGUGUGUAGGUGGGGAUCUGAGGAGCUGCAGCGGGUGGAACAGGAGUUCCGUUUGGUGACUUCCUAAAGUGCCAGAGAUGAAUUAUUCCAGAGAAAAGGCUGAAAUGCAGCUAUGGCGCUCAGCAGCUCUGCACUGCCCCUCCAGCACAGCCGGGCCGCCCUCCUCUGCACAGCUCUGCUCCGGUGUGGGGCACCUCCACCUCCUGGUGCUGCAGUGCCCCAGGGACAUGGCAUCCAACCAUCUCUUUUGCAAUAGAAAGGCUUGUGGCUUAUGUUUCAUCAAGAUGGAGGUCUGUGAUAGGGCACUGCAACCUUCAGUGUGUGAUGGUGCUGCUGCUGUGACCCUGCUGCUUGUUGUGCAAGUCUCUCCUGAUUCAGUCCACACCUGGCUAAGUUUCCUUUGUUUCAGCCAUGCAAAGGCCUUCACAAACAUCUUGGAACUGCUACAUGUUUGGGAGGGGGAAGAACUUCUACCCAAGAAAAAAUGUUAGUCUGCUUCUGCAAAAGUAACGCACUGUGUUGGCUUUUAUAGCAUCACAAAGCACCUCUCUCCAUGAGCUGUGUACAUUCUGUCCCUGAAAGAUUUUAGUGCAACAGUGACCUUAGAGGGCUCUUGAAGAGAGCCCUUUCUGCUUGAAUUGUAUCCUGACGUGUAAUGAAGAGGUUGCCAUGGCAAGUGCGUAUUUUUGAUGGAAUCAGAAAACAAGUGAAUAAACCACAUGCGUCUCUGAUCCAUGACUUACUAUGGCUCAAGGCAGCAGCAGCCGCUUUCCAUCAAUACAUGAUGAAAAUUUUGUCAUUCCUUUUUUUUUAAUGUCUCAGGCUAUGAAGUUUAAGGGGUCAUCUGAACACUGCUUUGCUUCCUUCAUUUCAUAGAUUGAGAAAUGUUUAAUUGCCAUGCAGGAAACCCAACUGCUGCCACCAAAAGCUCUCCCUGUAACCUCCCCAGGUGCACACGGGCAUUAGCACCAGCAGACCCUUCCUAUUACAGUGCUUCUAUUCAUGGGAGGCAUGGGGAAAUCCACAUUGUAUAUGAAAACUGCCUGAGAGCACCUUAUAUUUGGCAC